This 433-nucleotide ribosomal RNA is filed under the name uncultured bacterium. RNAcentral describes it as "partial 16S ribosomal RNA". It matches the Rfam family "Bacterial small subunit ribosomal RNA", at positions 29 to 507 of the family's 1533-position model. The record is from RNAcentral.
AGCGAACGCUGGCGGCAGGCCUAACACAUGCAAGUCGAACGAACUCUUCGGAGUUAGUGGCGGGCGGGUGAGUAACACGUGGGAACGUGCCUUUAGGUUCGGAAUAACUCAGGGAAACUUGUGCUAAUACCGAAUGUGCCCUUCGGGGGAAAGAUUUAUCGCCUUUAGAGCGGCCCGCGUCUGAUUAGCUAGUUGGUGAUGUAAAGGCUCACCAAGGCGACGAUCAGUAGCUGGUCUGAGAGGAUGAUCAGCCACAUUGGGACUGAGACACGGCCCAAACUCCUACGGGAGGCAGCAGUGGGGAAUCUUGCGCAAUGGGCGAAAGCCUGACGCAGCCAUGCCGCGUGAAUGAUGAAGGUCUUAGGAUUGUAAAAUUCUUUCACCGGGGACGAUAAUGACGGUACCCGGAGAAGAAGCCCCGGCUAACUUCGUG